Molecule: long non-coding RNA, 242 nt
Organism: Grammomys surdaster
Lineage: Eukaryota; Metazoa; Chordata; Mammalia; Rodentia; Muridae
Exons: 3
Source: RefSeq, a predicted model, not a curated record
GGGCGUGUCAGGGCCAUCUCAGUACAGAGCCCCUCUAUGACAUCCAGGGCCACCUGGGAAGGCCAGAGAGACUAUGUGACACUUAGCCUCUUGAAGUCUCAGUUUGCUGUUCCACAUUCAGUAUCUAUAAGGGACCUAUUGCAGAUAUCCUGAAGACACCAAACUUCCAAGAUGAAUGGCGUUCAAGGCCUCCUGGAAGAAGAAAGAGCUGCCUCUUGGAACUGCGGCCUGCCUGGAGUAGG